UACGGAGGGGGCGAGCGUUAUUCGGAAUUAUUGGGCGUAAAGGGCGCGUAGGCGGCUGUACAAGUCAAAGGUGAAAUCCCUCGGCUCAACUGAGGAACUGCCUUUGAAACUGUACGGCUUGAGGCCGGGAGGGGGUAGCGGAAUUCCCAGUGUAGCGGUGAAAUGCGUAGAUACUGGGAGGAACACCAGUGGCGAAGGCGGCUCUCUGGAACGCAACUGACGCUGAGACGCGAAAGCGUGGGGAGCAAACAGG
RNAcentral lists this ribosomal RNA (253 nucleotides) under uncultured bacterium. RNAcentral's name for it is "partial 16S ribosomal RNA". It matches the Rfam family "Bacterial small subunit ribosomal RNA", at positions 524 to 776 of the family's 1533-position model. The record is from RNAcentral.